Molecule: long non-coding RNA, 307 nt
Filed under: Malus domestica (apple)
Lineage: Eukaryota; Viridiplantae; Streptophyta; Magnoliopsida; Rosales; Rosaceae
Description: long non-coding RNA (MDOM_LNC014822)
Source: RNAcentral
AAGAAAAUCUUUAUUUGACAAGACAUGAAAGGGUUUUUUCUUUAGUUCAUGAUUAUUUUAGCUGGAUGAGUUCCAGUUGGUAGAUUGUUGAACAGUGGUAAAUGCAGAACCAAAAAUAGAGGCAACCAAGUUUUCAUGUUUUUUCAAGACUCAACCUAACACUGCUUUGCAAGUGGUUUCACCUUUCCCUUUGCCACAUGCUUUGGUUUUGAAGUGACCAUACAUCAACUCAUGAUUUUUAUUUUUUUUUGACACUGCUUUGCAAGUGGUUUCACCUUUCCCUUUGCCACAUGCUUUGGUUUUGAAG